GUGGGGAAUAUUGGACAAUGGGGGGAACCCUGAUCCAGCCAUGCCGCGUGUGUGAAGAAGGCCUUUUGGUUGUAAAGCACUUUAAGCGAGGAGGAGGCUACCGAGAUUAAUACUCUUGGAUAGUGGACGUUACUCGCAGAAUAAGCACCGGCUAACUCUGUGCCAGCAGCCGCGGUAAUACAGAGGGUGCAAGCGUUAAUCGGAUUUACUGGGCGUAAAGCGCGCGUAGGCGGCUUUUUAAGUCGGAUGUGAAAUCCCUGAGCUUAACUUAGGAAUUGCAUUCGAUACUGGAAAGCUAGAGUAUGGGAGAGGAUGGUAGAAUUCCAGGUGUAGCGGUGAAAUGCGUAGAGAUCUGGAGGAAUACCGAUGGCGAAGGCAGCCAUCUGGCCUAAUACUGACACUGAGGUGCGAAAGCAUGGGGAGCAAACAGGAUUAGAAACCCGGGUAGUCC
RNAcentral lists this ribosomal RNA (451 nucleotides) under uncultured bacterium. RNAcentral describes it as "partial 16S ribosomal RNA". It matches the Rfam family "Bacterial small subunit ribosomal RNA", at positions 354 to 796 of the family's 1533-position model. The record is from RNAcentral.